AUUUUCUUCGGAAUUGAAAGUGGAAUGACUCAGUGGCGGACGGGUGAGUAACGCGUGGAUAACCUACCUUAGUACUGGGGGACAACAAUUAGAAAUGAUUGCUAAUACCGCAUAAGCGCACAGUGCCGCAUGGCACCGUGUGAAAACUACAGUGGUAUAAGAUGGAUCCGCGUUUGAUUAGUUGUUGGUGGGGUAAUGGCCUACCAAGACUACGAUCAAUAGCCGGCCUGAGAGGCGAACGGCCACAUUGGGACUGAGACACGCCAACUCC
RNAcentral lists this ribosomal RNA (271 nucleotides) under unidentified marine bacterioplankton. RNAcentral describes it as "partial 16S ribosomal RNA". It matches the Rfam family "Bacterial small subunit ribosomal RNA", at positions 74 to 338 of the family's 1533-position model. The record is from RNAcentral.